UUACGGGAGGCAGCAGUGGGGAAUCUUGCACAAUGGGCGAAAGCCUGAUGCAGCCAUGCCGCGUGUGUGAAGAAGGCCUUCGGGUUGUAAAGCACUUUAAGUGGGGAGAAAAGGGUAGUCAUUAACACUGGCUAUCUGUGAUGUUACCCACAGAAUAAGCACCGGCAAACUUCGUGCCAGCAGCCGCGGUAAUACGAAGGGUGCGAGCGUUAAUCGGAAUUACUGGGCGUAAAGAGCACGUAGGCGGUUUGAUAAGCGGAAUGUGAAAUCCCCGGGCUUAACCUGGGAACUGCAUUCCGAACUGUCAGGCUAGAGUGUGGUAGAGGUGAGCGGAAUUUCCUGUGUAGCGGUGAAAUGCGUAGAUAUAGGAAGGAACAUCAGUUGCGAAGGCGGCUCACUGGACCAACACUGACGCUGAGGUGCGAAAGCGUGGGUAGCGAACAGGAUUAGAUACCCGGGUAGUCCC
Molecule: ribosomal RNA, 466 nt
Filed under: uncultured bacterium
Lineage: Bacteria
Description: bacterial SSU rRNA
Rfam family: Bacterial small subunit ribosomal RNA
Source: RNAcentral